This 373-nucleotide long non-coding RNA is filed under the name Anas platyrhynchos platyrhynchos (common mallard). Its description in RNAcentral is "lncRNA (ENSAPLG00000022637.1)". The record is from RNAcentral. Lineage: Eukaryota; Metazoa; Chordata; Aves; Anseriformes; Anatidae.
AGCAGAUUAACACCUUCAAAAAGGAGAACAUGAUUCAAGGAUCUUAGGUUGGAAUUAAGUUGUCCUGAGAAGUGUCAGGUAUCCAUUCUUUAUGUUCUCCUACGCAGUGAAGGGCACUAGAAAGACUACAAAAUGAAUUAAUAUUUUGUUUUGAAUAGGUAAAAACAAACAAACAAACAAACAAAAAACAACUAAACACAACUACACAACUUUGUGAUGGAACUCCUGCAAUUUUUUUUUUUUUUUUUUUUUUUUUUUUUUUUUUUUUUUUUUUUUUUUUUUUUUUUUUGUUUUUUUUUUUUUUUUUUUUUUUUUUUUUUUUUUUUUUUUUUUUUUUUUUUUGUAUUUUUUUUUUUUUUUUUUUUUCAGUAAU